AACGCACAUUGCGCCCGCCAGUAUUCUGGCGGGCAUGCCUGUUCGAGCGUCAUUUCAACCCUCAAGCCCCGGCGGCUUGGUGUUGGGGACCGGCGACGCCUCUCGUCCGCCGCCCCCGAAAUGAAUCGGCGGCCUCGUCGCGGCCUCCUCUGCGUAGUAGCACAACCUCGCGGCGGGAGCGCGGCGCGGCCACUGCCGUAAAACGCCCAACUUCUUCUCAGAGUUGACCUCGAAUCAGGUAGGACUACCCGCUGAACUUAA
RNAcentral lists this unclassified non-coding RNA (261 nucleotides) under uncultured fungus. RNAcentral's name for it is "partial contains 5.8S ribosomal RNA, internal transcribed spacer 2, and large subunit ribosomal RNA". The stretch from base 1 to 52 matches the Rfam family "5.8S ribosomal RNA", at positions 103 to 154 of the family's 154-position model. The record is from RNAcentral. Lineage: Eukaryota; Fungi.